This is a non-coding RNA of 183 nucleotides. It matches the Rfam family "6S / SsrS RNA". Rfam says of the family: E. coli 6S RNA was the first non coding RNA to be sequenced, but its function was unknown until recently. It consists of 184 nucleotides that fold into an extended hairpin structure with a large single-stranded internal bulge. The record is from Rfam.
AUUUCUCUGAGAUGUUUGUCAGCGGGUCAGUCCCCUGAGCCGAUAUUUAGCACAAACAGAAUGUGUUGAUCUGCGAUCGGGGAGCAUGUUCGGUGCGCCGGGAAGCCUUAAGAUUGCGAUGGCAAGUUCACCUUGAACCAUGGGUUCAAGGGUUACAGCCUGCGACGGCAUCUUGGAGAUCCC